RNAcentral lists this ribosomal RNA (401 nucleotides) under uncultured bacterium. RNAcentral's name for it is "partial 16S ribosomal RNA". It matches the Rfam family "Bacterial small subunit ribosomal RNA", at positions 360 to 776 of the family's 1533-position model. The record is from RNAcentral.
AAUCUUGCGCAAUGGGCGAAAGCCUGACGCAGCAACGCCGCGUGCGGGAUGAAGGCCUUCGGGUUGUAAACCGCUUUCAGUGGGGACGAACCAAGACGGUACCCACAGAAGAAGCCCCGGCCAACUACGUGCCAGCAGCCGCGGUAACACGUAGGGGGCAAGCGUUGUCCGGAUUUAUUGGGCGUAAAGAGCCCGUAGGUGGCUCAGUAAGUCGGGUGUGAAACCUCCAGGCUCAACCUGGAGACGCCACCCGAUACUGCUGUGGCUAGAGUCCAGUAGGGGAGCGUGGAAUUCCUGGUGUAGCGGUGAAAUGCGCAGAUAUCAGGAGGAACACCAGUGGCGAAGGCGGCGCUCUGGGCUGGAACUGACACUGAGGAGCGAAAGCGUGGGGAGCAAACAGG